UACGGGGGGUGCGAGCGUUGUCCGGAUUCACUGGGCGUAAAGGGCGCGUAGGCGGCCUGAUCAGUCCGAUCUGUAAGCGCGGGGCUCAGCCUGGCGUUGGGUUGGAGACGGUGAGGCUGGAGUGCGGUCGAGGGAGACGGAAUGCCGGGUGUAGUGGUGAAAUGCGUAGAGAUCCGGCGGAACACCGGUGGUGAAGGCGGUUUCCUGGGCCGUAGCUGACGCUGAUGCGCGAGAGCGCGGGGAGCGAACCGG
This 252-nucleotide ribosomal RNA is filed under the name uncultured bacterium. RNAcentral describes it as "partial 16S ribosomal RNA". It matches the Rfam family "Bacterial small subunit ribosomal RNA", at positions 524 to 776 of the family's 1533-position model. The record is from RNAcentral.